This 239-nucleotide ribosomal RNA is filed under the name uncultured bacterium. RNAcentral's name for it is "partial 16S ribosomal RNA". It matches the Rfam family "Bacterial small subunit ribosomal RNA", at positions 92 to 334 of the family's 1533-position model. The record is from RNAcentral.
CGACCGGCGCACGGGUGCGUAACGCGUAUGCAACUACCUUUAACAGGGGAUAACACUGAGAAAUUGGUACUAAUACCCCAUAAUAUCAUAGAAGGCAUCUUUUAUGGUUGAAAAUUCCGAUGGUUAGAGAUGGGCAUGCGUUGUAUUAGCUAGUUGGUGGGGUAACGGCUCACCAAGGCGACGAUACAUAGGGGGACUGAGAGGUUAACCCCCCACACUGGUACUGAGACACGGACCAG